UAACUUUUUGUUGGAAUGGUCAAGCAUUUCUGUGUUCUCAAAUAAUAUCCUGUGUCCAGGCUGGUUCAUCAAGUGCUCUGCUGUGGCUGAUUUCUCUGGUUGAAUUAGUCUGCAGUGCCUUCAUGUUCUUUGACUCUUGUUUGGGCGCUGCGUUUGGUAGUCCCUAUGUAGACUUGCCCACAGCUGCAUGGUAUCCGGUAAACUCCUGCAGAGGAGAGAGGAUCCCUCUUGUCCUUCGCUGACCGUAGCAUUUGUUGGAUUUUCUUUGUGGGUCUGUAGAUAGUUUGUAGGUUGUGCUUCUUUCCUUUCCUUACUUAGUUUAUCCAUACCUCUGAGGAUGCCUGCCAUAGAUGUGGGCGAAACGUCAGUAGAGAAUACUUCUGGAACAUGGCCACACAGCCCGAAAGACAUACAACAACCCUGCAACCUGUGACACUCUCCAGGAAAUUCCUUCCUAAUGGUUCCAGUCAAAUAUCUUUCCCUGCCAUGUGAAUCCAUUGCUCCCUUGUGCCCUGGUCUUUAGAGCAGCAGAAAGUCAUUUUCCCCCUUAUUUCCUCCUCAAUGGGACACCCUUUUAAAUCUUGAAAUAUGGUUCUCAUGUUCCCUCUCGACCUUCUCUUCUCCCAGCUAAACAUCCCCGAGGAGUAAAGGAGGAAGGAAAGAGAGAAGAAAGGAAGGAUAGGAUGGUAAGAGAGAGGAGGGCCUGAGAAAAGAGCUCAAGAGGCCGCAUCUGGCCCCUGGGCCUUGGUUUGCCCAUACCUGCUAUAGACCAUCCUUUGUAAUUAAACAAUCAGCUUGAAUUCAAUCGUCUUCCAAACUAAAAAAAAAAAAUUAAAACUCAUUAAGUUUGACACUAGUGUCAUUUUACACAACUUUUUUAAAAGGAAAGGAAGGGAUUGCUAAUGGCAUUGUAUGUCAUUUUCAUUCUAGUGGCAGGAAUGUUGUUCUUUGAGAUUAUACAUUGAUCAAGAUAGAUGCCUGGAUAAAUGGGAAUCCCAUUUGCAUGGUGUUGAACUACUCCUCCUU
This 1026-nucleotide long non-coding RNA is filed under the name Anolis carolinensis (green anole). Its description in RNAcentral is "lncRNA (ENSACAG00000042666.1)". The record is from RNAcentral. Lineage: Eukaryota; Metazoa; Chordata; Lepidosauria; Squamata; Anolidae.